GAAUCUCAAGGACUGAAUUAGAAGCGGAGGAACCAACUUAUUGGGGGCGAAUCUUUAGAUAAAGAAAGGCACCUUCCAGCCUUAGCCCGUCAGCUAACUCCGUAGGCAUUGGAAGGAGUAUCA
RNAcentral lists this small RNA (123 nucleotides) under Tolypothrix bouteillei. RNAcentral's name for it is "c-di-AMP sequence". It matches the Rfam family "c-di-AMP riboswitch aptamer (ydaO/yuaA leader)". From Rfam's summary of the family: This family represents a conserved RNA structure found upstream of the ydaO and yuaA genes in Bacillus subtilis and related genes in other bacteria. The ydaO/yuaA element is thought to act as a genetic "off" switch for the ydaO and yuaA genes in its native state. Lineage: Bacteria; Bacillati; Cyanobacteriota; Cyanophyceae; Nostocales; Tolypothrichaceae. The record is from RNAcentral. RNAcentral also lists the same sequence under 1 other name.